ACAUGCAGUCGAGGGGUAUAGUUCUUCGGAACUAGAGACCGGCGCACGGGUGCGUAACGCGUAUGCAAUCUACCUUUUACAGAGGGAUAGCCCAGAGAAAUUUGGAUUAAUACCUCAUAGUAUAUAGCCCUGGCAUCAGGAUUAUAUUAAAGUCACAACGGUAAAAGAUGAGCAUGCGUCCCAUUAGCUAGUUGGUAAGGUAACGGCUUACCAAGGCUACGAUGGGUAGGGGUCCUGAGAGGGAGAUCCCCCACACUGGUACUGAGACACGGACCAGACUCCUACGGGAGGCAGCAGUGAGGAAUAUUGGACAAUGGGCGCAAGCCUGAUCCAGCCAUGCCGCGUGCAGGAUGACGGUCCUAUGGAUUGUAAACUGCUUUUAUACGAGAAGAAACANNCCNNCGUGNNGGANCUUGACGGUAUCGUAAGAAUAAGGAUCGGCUAACUCCGUGCCAGCAGCCGCGGUAAUACGGAGGAUCCAAGCGUUAUCCGGAAUCAUUGGGUUUAAAGGGUCCGUAGGCGGUUUAAUAAGUCAGUGGUGAAAGCCCAUCGCUCAACGGUGGAACGGCCAUUGAUACUGUUAGACUUGAAUUAUUAGGAAGUAACUAGAAUAUGUAGUGUAGCGGUGAAAUGCUUAGAGAUUACAUGGAAUACCAAUUGCGAAGGCAGGUUACUACUAAUUGAUUGACGCUGAUGGACGAAAGCGUGGGUAGCGAACAGGAUUAGAUACCCUGGUAGUCCACGCCGU
This 748-nucleotide ribosomal RNA is filed under the name unidentified microorganism. Its description in RNAcentral is "bacterial SSU rRNA". It matches the Rfam family "Bacterial small subunit ribosomal RNA", at positions 53 to 803 of the family's 1533-position model. The record is from RNAcentral.